GAAGAAGAAAAUGGGGCUGAAAAACUUCACUGCCAUUUUUCAAAAUCAGACGACCCGUUUCCUUUCAAAGGGUAGCCAAAAAGUUCCCAUACACACCCAUUAGCGAGCUUCUUCUUUACCAAAAAAAAAACUAAAAAAAUUAGAUCAUCAUUUUCAAACCACCUUCUAGCUAGAACUGGAAACAAAAAAACAGUACAGACUCUCUCAUCAGCGCUGUCUCUUUACGCCACCCUCGAGUUACUACUAUCUUGCCCCACGUUGACUCAAGGAACCAUAGCCGCUGCUUCCACAGUACCGUUAACCUGAGGUGUUCAUUACCGGAAUCAUAACACAAGGCAGGCCAGGAGCCCACUCACAUCGUCCAUGUGCAUCUUCAGCGUGCUCGUUUUACAUUCUUGCCUCUGACCUCUCUGGACUUAGCUUUAUUCAAGCACUAGCCACUCAAAAAAAGAGUGAAGAUGAGGUACGGGAUAUCCAGUGGAGCUGUCUCCAUCAUAAUCACUCAAGGUAUAAAGCUUCUACCUAUUCUCAUGUAGUUGUAAUCUUUUACAUGUGCAUGCUACUGCAAAGGCAAGCUCCCGUUUUUCCUUUAUGUGCUAUGAAGUUAACAUAUAGUGUUGUAAGGUGUGUGGAUCGUCUUUUAAGUCCUAACCUGGUCACGGGUGUUCUUUCACUUGCUACGGGUACUGAAGGGGAUGGGGUGUGAUUUUUCCUUCAAGCGCAUAUGGUCUUGAAAACUUGAUUGCAUGUCCUAAGUUCAUGUUAAGACCUUGCCUAGUUAAUUAAGAAUGCUCUUACCCAAGGUUAAAGUUCAAGAACGGUAUGAGAAUGCUCUCUCAUUUUAUUUAGAUCGCUCAUUGAUUAUAAUAUUGUUGACUUAUUUUAUUAGAUUUUAAUGUAAUUUAAUUUCUUGACUAGAAUUAUCAGUAUAUAAUUAGUUAAAAAAUUAUUUAUGAUUUUAUGAUUUUACGAUCUGAGUUUAUUUUAUAUUUUUCGUGUCGUGUCAAAAAAUAUUUUUGACAACCUUGAACCCAGGAUCUUGACUUUAUUGAUCCACAAUCCCCAAACCAUAUUCGCAAACUAAAACUUUUUUUAUAUAGUUUAAAACAAGCACCUCGUGCAUGUAUUGAUUGCUUAGUGAAUUCUUAGUUUCUCAAUGGAUUUUAUAUUCGUAAAUUUUUAAGUGAACCCAGGUUAUAUUAUCAUGAUAACUAAAAUAAAAUGAGCUAAAUUUAUUUAUAAAAUGAGCACCACACGCUUAGAUUUAAAUUCCAUAGAAAGAUUAGCACCUGAUGACAAGUUAACUCGGGAAACAAAGGUAAUAACAAUGUUUUGAGAUUGAAUUCGACACUAGGUCUACUUAGUAGUUAGUACAUAUAAGUUGAAGGAUUGCUACCUUGACCAAUGAACUGAAAAUAUCUUUAAUUUAUAAUGAAUGGCAUACACCAUACAGUUUUACCAUAUCAACAGCAUGAAAAUUGAUAAUCGAUCCUUUAGGGAUAUUAUUCCAUUUCUUUAUUAAUUAUCAUAAAAACAUUUAUUAAAUGUGUUGUCCUCCAACUCUUUCCAUAAAAAGAAAGAGUUGUGAACCACAACAUACAUUUGAUCAUGGACAAAAGGUAAUCAAAUAGUUGCCUCCACUAGGACAAGUAAACGUGCUCGAUUUAUCAUCAAAAGCAUAACUAUAAGCUUGAGGACACUGCUGCUUGAAAGUCAUCGAAUAUUGGGUAGGAGGACAUGUUUCAGCUGUAUUAUGGUCUCCUGUGCAGCAGUACUGCGGCUGGUUAAAUGCCAAACACGCACUCUUGCAGGCAAUCACAGUCCCAUCUGAACCUUUCACUGCUAAACUAGGAUCACAAACAGCAUUCACGUUAGCUGCACAGCUUGUAGAAGGGCAGCCAGUAGAACCUCCUUGCGGGGUUACCGAAAUUGGGAGGUUAAAGCCAUCAACAAGGCUUAUAUCGUAAUAAUCUUUCCCACCAUCACCGCUUAGAGUAAAUUCUGCCAAGGAUGCUGGUGGGAUCGCACCGGCUCCAUUGCAUUCUAUGACACCAGAGGCACAGUCAGCAGUAGCACAAACAAACUUUCCCGAGGCAUCUGUAGAGCAUUGCGUUCUGGCCCACAAGCGGCCAGACCAAUUGACAGGGACACUCAGCGAAGAUGAAGCACCCGUUGCCAAUGUGAAGCCAGUUGAAGAUAAAGACGGACCGCCAGCAGCCGUUAGAGUUCCUGGCCAGACUGUGUAUGGACAGUUGUUUUUGAAGUCGAAAGUCACAGAUUGAGCUCCUGCAUGCGUGCAAGAUUUAUUUUUGUUGAUAUCAAUAAUUAAAUCUUGGUCGAUUCAAAGAUAACAUAAUUCAAUAUUUAAAAUCUUGUAUUAAUUCAGUUAUUUUUCUUUUAAAAAUAUAACAUAACCCAGGUUUUUUUUUAAUAUAUUUUUUUCUUUCUUGUUUUUUAUCUGGAAACUCUCCCUCCUGGAUAAGUUUAUUGGAUUCACGAAAUCCAUUGAAUAAUGAAAACUAGUUAAUAUUGCAUAUGCAAACAGAAAAUAUAUAUGUAGAAUAAUCAAAGUGAAUAAUAUGCAUAAUAGAGUUUUCCAUGCAAGAAUCUAAUAUAUGUAAUAUUGUAAAAGUACUUGCCAUAGAAGAAGAUGACGAGGGUGAAGGUAAUUAUAGCAAUGGGCAUACGACUCUCCAUUGCCGAGAUGCGUCGAAUUAAUUAAGACCUUUUCAGUAUCUUUCAAGAGAUUUGAGGUAAGCAAGAAACACUCUAUAUUUUAAAAAUAUUAUGAAAUGAGCAGACUUAAUAAAUAGUGUUAAAUUUGCAGACUAGUAAACAGAGGAACGUCCUGCUUCUGAUCACGUCAAAUGAAAGCAACACCCCAUUGAAUAUUGAAUGUAACUCUUGUCCAGCAGACGAGCCGUGAUGAAUGUGACACUCUUCAAAAUUAUCACACCGUGAUUAAUGCGAGAUUCUUCAAAAUUAAAGAAAAAAAAAUCACCACCUAUUAAUUAAAAAAUUUAGAAUUCAAAAAUAGACAUUGGUUAGAGAUUUAGGCAUUCGGGACAACUCGCUCUUCUGGCACCAGCACAGCACUUCGUCGAAAAGAAACCCAAUGAAAUAUACAAAUGCCCUUGGUUUGAACCACAAUAUAAAUGAAUUAUAUUCCACAAAACAUCGAAAGAUGUACUUUUAAAUUUAUUUUUUAAUAUUUUGGAUAAUAUAUUUAAAUUAAAAUUUUACUGUUAACUUCAAAUAUUCAUGUACAUGAGUUAAUAAUUGAUCUUAAAAAAAAAUUAUAUAUUUAUUUAAUAGCUCAGGACACGAAAACUUCUUUGCUCCGCCCUUGCUAAUAAUCAUCUUCCACACGAUGACAUUUGACAAUGAAUAUCAAAUUAUAAAAUUAUAAUUUAUUUAUAUUUAUAAAAAAAUAAAUUAUAAAAUUGGGUUUAUCACUUGAAGUGCGCGUAGACCGUCCAUGCAAUGACAUGCACUCAUCAACUAUUUUUAAUAUUAUUUAUAUUUAUUAAAUUAUAAAAUUAGAAAUAAACCACCCUGAUAACAAAAAAAAAAAAAAAACCCAAUGAAAUAUACAAAAGCCCUUAGUUUGAACCACAAGUGACUAACUAGAUAUCUCAAUUAACGAGAAAGCAGACUAGAAAACAGGCAAUUAGAGAAACGUCAAAUGAAACCAACACCCAAUUGAAUAUUGAAUGUAACAGUACCGGUCCCUUGUUUGAACCACAAGUGACUAACUAGAUAUCUCAAAUUCAAUUGAUGAGAAAGCAGACUAGUAAACAGCCAACAGUGGCAGUUCUCCUCAGGCAUUACACCGUGAUGAGUGCGAGACUCUUCAAAAUUAUCACACCGUGAUGAGUGCGAGACUCUUCAAAAUUGAUGAGAAAGCAGAGUAGUCCCUGGCUUCUGGAAUGAAUGUAACUCUGGAAUUAUUCCAAAUCCAUUUGUCUAAUGAAUGUUACUCUGGAAUUAUUCCAAAUCCACAAGUUUCAUAAUGUUGUGUUGAUUGUGAGACAUUAUUAUUUCAAAAACUGAAGGGGAUAAAAUUAUAAAAGAAUUUUAAUUUUAUAAAUUAUCUAAAAAAAAAAUAAUAAAAAUAAUAGGAACCAAAUUCGAAUGAAUAACAAAUUAAAAACGUACUUUGAAAUUUUGAAGUGCCACGUACGGAAAUCAAGAAAAGAAGAAAUAAGACAAAAAAAAAGAUUGUCGGUAACAAACUGAAAACUAUCUACAACACGUGCCGCCUCAUCCAUGACAGCAAUUGGUCAAUGAACAUCCCUGCACGCACCACUUGAUGUGUGUGGAAUUGCCCACGAACUAACCUGAACUCAUCAACUAUUUUUUUUAAUAUUAUUUAUAUUUAUUAAAUUAUAAAAUUGGAAAUAAACCACCUUGAUAAAAAAAAAAAAAAAAAAAACCCAAUGAAAAUAUACAAAUGUCCUUGGUUUGAACCACAAGUGACUAACAAGAUAUCUCAAUUAAUGAGAAAGCAGACUAGUAAACAGCCAAUUAGAGGAACGCCCUGCUUCUCACGUCUAAUGAAAGCAAUUGAAUGCAGGAAUAGGGCCAUACUCACAAGAAAAUUGAUUUACACCUGACAUAAUAUUUUGUAAGUGUAAAAGCUAUAUUUCUGUGUCUAUAAAUAUCAGGUAGAUUUUUUUAUGGAAAUAUCUUGUAAAUAAAUAUCAAAAUAUUUAAUAUCGCAAUUCAGAGCAUAUAUCUAAUUGUGUUUAAUAAUUUUUUUAUUUGAAUAAAUUUGUAUUUAACCAAAAGAUUAUCCAUGCCGAUAAAACGAUGUCUACCAAAUAUAUAUUUUUUUAUUUUGUAUUUUAAAAUAUUAUGAAAUGAGCAUCACUUUCCUAUAUUUAUUUAAUUAAUUAAAUUAAAUUAAAUGAAAAAAAUGUCUAUAAAAAAGAGAAAUUAAAAAAAAACAACAAAUAAAAAUACUCGAGAUAUCCCGAGUCAUUUUCAAAAUAAGUGAAAAAUCUUAUAGAAAGAAAAAAAAAAUCAAUGGAGCCCAAUAUCUAAUUAAAUAAAUAUUAAAGGAUGAAACUAAAAUAAACAUGAGCUUAAAAAAAGGGAAAAAACCAAGCAAACUCGGGUGAACCUCCUAAACCUGAGUUAAUCUCUAAAACUCCCAACUUAUGAAAUCCUAGACUUGAACUUGAUUAAGAAGCACAAUUCUCAACUAAUUUAAUGUUGAAUAAUGAAAACAGGAAAAAAAAUCAAUUUAAAAAAAAAAUUGCAAAAGUGAAAAAAAAGUUAGCAAUCAAAAGAAUGAGGAAUCAAAUCUGAUAGGAAAAAAAAACUUAUGGAGGAUGAUAUUGUAAAAAAAUAUCAAAUUAAAAAAUUAUCUCAAAUAAAAAAAUAGCAAUCAAAAGAAUAGGAACAAAAUUUGAAAGAUAAAAAAAUUAAAGGGGUAUGAAAUUGUCAAAGAAUUCUAAUUUAAUAAAUUAUUCCAAACAAAACAAAUAAUGAUCAAAAGAACAGCCACCAAAUCUUAAGGAAUAACAAAUUGAAGGCAUGCUUUGAAAUUUUGAAGGGGCACAAGCAAGAAUCAAUGAGAGAAAAAAGAAAAAGAGAAAGAAAAGGUUGUCGGCACCAAAUUGAACAACCAGUUCACUUGGUAUUACCAAACGGUCGACCGGACCAACUUAAAUUCCAGAUUUUGACAAUUUAAACCUGCUGAAUCUUGAACUGAUACUAAUCCUAUAUACAUGUAGAGUGAAGUGUUUGAGUCAUUUUAAUUGUGCUAUUAAGCUAAAAUAUAAAGAUUUACAAAAUCACUUAAAUGAACAAUUAAUUCUUAGUCUUCACUUGUUUUGCAUCUUGGAUAUCCUCAUUGAUUUUUUCAUGACAUCCUUCAUGCUUGUUGAUGUCAAAACUAAUUUUUGGGUUAUUCCCCACCAUUUUUUACCUUAUUCCUUUUCAAAAUAAAAAUAAAAUAAUAAAAUAAUAAUAGCAAGGAUACUAGCGACGUAGAAAAUGUUGGCUGGGGAAGGAUUUUAAAUAUAGAAAAAUUAAAGUUUUGGAGUCAAUUAAGGGCUGCAUUAAUGAAAUUUUCAGCCAAGAAUCAUUUUGAAAAAGGCAAUUAGGGACUUGAUUGAAGAAAUACAAAACCAAGGACCAAAUUGGAAAAGGCACGUGAAUAUAAGGGUUGAAAUUGACCGAAUCAGGGACCAGAUUGAAGAAAUUGGAAGUUUGUUGAUCAAUUGAAGGUCAAAAUGCACAAAUUCAAAACCAAGGAUCAAAGUGAAAAAGGCAACCAACUUCAAGGCUGACAUUUGAAUUUGAAAAAGAUGCAAUUGAAUUAAUUCUUAAAAUCAAAAUCUAAAUCGAUGACUUAAUUGAACAAAUAAAAAAUUGAGGACUGAUUUGGAGAAAAGGACUUCUUAGGCGCCAUUUUUAUUUAAAUGAAAUGGCGUGUUUUGUACGAAAACGAUGCCAUUUCAAGUAUUCUUAUUCCAAAAAGAAAAAAAAAAGACAAAGCUCAAAAUGGUGUCAUUUUGGAUGGCACUGUACAUCUUCUACUUCCCCUAGACGUGCUGUAGGCAGGGGAAAAAGGUUUUUUUCCCAUCCUUUACAGCACCUUUCUCUCUCCCUCCCUCCCUCUCUCUCUCUCUCUCUCUUUCUCUCUUUUUCUCUCUCUCCCACUUGCCUAAAAACCCUAACACAACCCACACCCCCUCAUGGCCUACCACCAUGAUGAAAGGGGCAGAGGGAACAAGCCUUACAGGCGACUCUGGGGCGGCUACACAGUGGACGCCCUAGCGCUACACUACCCCUUCAGCAUGACUAGACAGGGGUAGGGCAGCUCCCCCCCCCCGCCCUUUAUAAAUACCAUCCUUACCAGGAGGUUGGGGGGCGAAAGAAAGAAAGAAAGAAAGAAAAAGGAAAAAGGAACGAAACAAAAAAGAAAAGGAAAGAAAGAAAAACAAUGGAAAACAAAGGAAAGAAAGGGAAGAAAAAGAAAAACAAAGAAAAAAAAGGAAAGAAAACAAAGGAACACUCUUUGGCCUCUACUCGGAGAAGAAAAGGAACCUCUUCUCCUCAUCUCUCUUGCUAGUUAGUAGCAGCAGCCACCAUUCCUCCUAGUCGCCACCGCAACAAUGCCACCGUCAACAUCAGCAACCAUGCUACCCUCACUCCAAGUAAUCUUCUUCCCCUCUAUGUAACAUCUUCUUACCUGUUUUCCUUCUUCAUUUCAUUUGCAUGCAGAAUAUGAGCAAUUCACAUUCUGCAUAGUAACUAAUUACUGUGCUAAGCACAGUAACCAUUUAAUGGUUUUUUGGGCUGGGUCUAGCCUUAUAAAAAAAAAAAGAAUAUGUUGGGUCGACAUCGGCCCAACUCUUUUGGGCUGACCUCGACCCAAUUUCUUUUGGUUUGUAUUUUUACACUAUAAAUAUACAAAAUUCGUUAUUAAAAUACUUGUUUUUUCUCCAAAAUGUUGCAAAACAAAUAUAUAGAAAAAUAACAAAAAAACAUUUCUUGUUCUCAUGCAUAUGACCAAGUCUAAAAAAUAUAAGAAAUUUCAUAUUGUAUUUUCAUACAAAAUAAAAUUCAAAAAAAUAUGUGUUAGCAUGCAUUCUAGGCUUUAAUAACCAGUUUAUUAAAGCAAUCAGAACUACGCCUAUAUUUCAAAAAUACUAAAAAAAUAUUUUGUUUUCUUUUAGUAUCUAGGAUUAUAAACUUAUACAUAAGACGUAUUAUGGAUAUUAAAUAAAAAGGUAGUUCUUUUUUUUAUAUGUAUUGACAUUAGAACGGUUAGGUUUUUACCUGAUAAUAUAAGGAUCUCCUUACUAAGGAAGACUUUUCCUAAACCUUAGACUGGCCAACAAUUAGAAAACACAACAAUAUGUUAGUUAUAUUAGAUAAUUAAACAAUGCAGAUUACCUUAGGUAAGACGCAUUAAAGGUGCUAAUACCUCAUGUGAAACUUCAGAAAUUUAUAAUUUAGAUAUGUAGAUGACUUGGUGGAAACUCUGUAAAACCCCAACAAAAGACUUCACCAUGAUGAAUUGAAUAAUGAGAAAUAAAAUAUAAAUGGUGGUAAAUUGUAAACCCCCAAUCAAAUUUCAUGAUAUUAAUAAAAUUAUUGAUAAUUCAGAACCAAAAAUGGGAUGAUCUAGUUAAAAUAAAAUAAAAUGGAAUAGUAUUGAAUUAUUAGAAAAGAAAUUUUAGAGAGAGAUUUUUUUUGCAUGGUAUUUUAAAAGCGAGCAGCGAAAAGGCAUUUGGUUGAACGAAAAGAUACCUAAACUUGAUAUAAGGGUGUUUUAGUAAAUAUAGAUAGAUUUGCUAUAUAAAUUGCAAAAUUAUGCAGAAAUUAACUAGGAGUGCCGAAUGAAAGGAAAAGAGAGAGAGAGAGAGAGAGUACCUUGAGAGCAGAAAUUCAAACGGCCAUAUCUCUGAAUUGCACUGUUACAUUGGUUUGGUUUUGGGAUAUAUUAUACUUCUCACUACCCUCUAACAUCUAACCAUUCGGAUCUGAAUGUUCUAGUUCGAUGUGAGAGAUAUAGCCCUCACAACAUUUCAAGGAAAAUCUGCUUGCAGGUCAGUCAUGGUCUCUAGCAGUUUCCACCCUUGUCCACCGUUGGAUCCUGCUCAAGUUUGGAUAUGUGGGUCAUAUUGAUGAGCUCUUCAUUAUGAACGGUGGAGAUCAGGAUUAUAGACUCCGAUAAGAAGUUAGUCAUCGAAGAACAAUAUGUUGUCAAUUUUCAGGUCCGUUUUGGUUUUGUCUUGAUCUAGAAAGAUCUAACCGUUACAAUGCUAUGAUGUUUUGGUACGUGUUUCAUGUUAUAAUGGUGGAAAGUGUGGUGGCUUAAUUUGUGUUUAACCAUCAAAAGCAUGCUAUUUAUGAUUUAAAUUGAAGAAAAUCCUUAGUGUCUUUCCUUAGGCAUGUUCAGCUAUAUUAUUGAUAGUAGGAAAAGGGAGAUAUUGGUUGUCCAAUCUAUGAAUUUGGACUUAACAGUUUUAUCACCCACCUUUCAGUUGUGGUUAGGGAGCCAAAAUGAUAAAAUUCCAGAUUGGGUUCUUCACAAAGGUUGUAGGUAUAGAUGUUAUCUUUUAAACAAAACUGACCUCGUAUAAUUUGGAGUUAUAAAACUCCAUAUAUGUGUCGCGGGUGCGCGGCGUCGCGGCGAAAAUUCCACUUUUUAGAAUCUAGGAAGUGUGUAUGGUAUCUAUCUGGUAAAUGUGGGGAGACAAGAAAAUAGUCUUUUGUUGGUAGGAAAAUGGAAUGGGAGUCGCCACCUAGUAUUUUGGUCACUAGGAACCCUAACUGGUCUCAAAGAUUGGGUACGGGGACUGGUUGCGUAAAGGGAAGGUAUUAGCACCCCAAAUACGCCCUACCUAAAGUAAGCUGCAUUGUUUAUUUGUCUGAUAAAAUUCAAGGUCUCGUUGUGUUUCCUAGUUGUUGGUCCGUCUAUGGUUCAAGAAAAGUCCUCCUCAAUAAGGAGGUCCUUAUCUUAAGGGGUAAAACCUAAUCCUUCUAACGUCUAUGUAUGUUGGUCCGUCUAUGGUUCAAGAAAAGUCCUCCUCAAUAAGGAGGUCCUUAUCUUAUCGGGUAAAACCUAACCGUUCUAAUGUCUAUGUAAAAAAACCCAUAUUUUUAAUAUCAGGAAUACGUUUUACGUAUAAAUUCAUAAUCCCAAAUACUAAAAGAAGACAAAAAGAUUUUUUAAGAAUUUUUGAAAUAUUGGCCUAGUUCUCAUGGCUUGAAUAAACUGGUUAUUAAAGCCAAAAUGCAUGCUAAUACAUAUAUUGUUUUGAAAUUUCCUUUUGUUGUGUGAAAAUAUGAUGUUAGAAUAUUUAUAUAUAUAUAUUGGAGAGACUAGGCCGUAUGCAUGAAAACAAAACAUUUUUUUUUGUAAUUAUGUAUUUUUUGAUGUUUUGACGAAAAUCGGGUAUUUUAAUACCGGAUUUGUAUCUUUACCGUAUAAAAAUACAAACCGACAUUGAUCAAAAUACAGUAAUAAAAUUACAACAAAAUCGCAUAUUUUUUAAAUGAUUUUUGAAGAACCCUUUUUUAUUUUUUUAUUUUUUUUUUUUUAAAACAUGUAUACAUAUAUAAAUAAUACAAAACAAUAUAAUAUAUAAAUAUAUAAUAUUAAAUGGGUUGGGCUGGUCCGGCCCAACCAACUGGGCCGGACUCAGCCCAAAAAAUGUUGGGCCGAUUUCGGCCCAAAAUGGAUUGGGCCGAUCUCGGCCCAAAAAACUGAUAUUCUUCUCUGGGCCAGACCCGGCCCCGAAGACAGGGCCGGGCCAGGAUCUGCCUGGACCGGACCAAACGGGCGGGGGGAAUUAAUUCCCCCCCCACCCCUGCAUGCAGAACGCUACUCGUUCUGCAUGCAGAGAAGGAAAAAAAAUAAACACCAGAACAAGGGGGGAGGAAGAAUUACCUGGCGCGGAGGAGGCGAUGGCUUGCUGAUUGGAAUGCUUCGCUGGUGGUGCUGUGGUGGAGGCCGGUGGCGGUGUCAUGGCUCACGGACGGCGGCUCCAAGCGGCGGUGCUGCUAUUUCAAACGGUGGAGGGUGAGGUUACUGCUCUUCCCUUCUCCUCCGUAUGCCUUCCUCUUCUUUCGUUUUCGGUGGUUUCCUUUUAUCCUCCCGGUUUGUUGUCAAGUUUCCUACCCCGUUUCAAGCUUUUCCUUCCUCUCCGUUUGAGUUUAUCAGUGGUUCCCUUUUUAUUCGGUUCUGUUCUCUGUUUCUCUCUAUUUCCUCUUCUUUCGGUCCUCUCCCCUUUCUCCUCCCUUUCUUCUGUGUUCUUGGGUCUAUUUAUAGAGCCAAGAGGCGGGGCUUUUUAUGGCUGCACAUGGGGGGCAGGGGCUGCGGCGGUUGGUCGGCCAUUCGGGUGCAGCUGUCGAGACGUUACUCCCCUGUUUUCUGCAUGGCGCGCGGCGGGUGGUCGGCCAGCGGGCGUGGCUGGCGAGGUGCGGCUCCCUCGGUUUCCUGGCAAGGCAUGUGGUCAAGAGAGAGGCAGCACCGGUUUAAAGAAGAAAAACCAUUUUUCUUCCUUCUUCUGCAUCGCGUCCAGUGAGGAAGAAGAAAGGGGAACAGUGUCGUUCAAAACGACACCGUUCCGAUCUUCUUCUUCUUCUUUUUUUUUUUUUUUUUUGGCAUGAAACGGCGUCGUUUUAGGCAAAACGCGCCGUUUCAUUUAAGUCCAGCAAGACGCCAAAACGCGUCAAUUUGCAAAGCAGCCCUCAAUUAUCUUCUUUCCUUCAAUUGCAUCCCUGCCAAUUUCGGUCUCCGCCCCUAUAGUUGGCCGCGUUUUUCACUUUGGUCCUUGGCCUCUGAUUUAUGCAAUUGAGCCCUCAAUUGAUUAAUAAACUUUCAAUUUCUUCAAUUAGGCCCCUGAACCGAAUAAUUGCAGCCCCUCCAUUUACGCGCCUCUUCCAAUUUGGUCCCUGAUUUCGGAUUUUCUCAAUUAAGUCCCCAAUUGGCCCUUAAACUUCAAUAUUUAUGCAAUUAAGCCCCUGAUUUGACCUAAUAAAUUCCUAAAAAAUAUAUUUUGGCCCCAGAACUUAAAUUUCUUCUAAUUAAAACCCAAAUUGACUUAAAAAUCAAUUUUUCUUACAAUCAAAUCCCCUAUAAAUUCAUUUAAAAAUCCAAUUAAGUCCAUAAACAUCCAAAUUUGGGCUUUUCUCCUCAAAUUUCAAAAUUCCCCUCUCAAUAGGGCUCUCAUCCUUCAAGAAUAUACUGUCCUAACUCCAAUCUUUGUAUUUUUAACCUCAUUGACCAAUUUUCCAACCAUUUUCUGAGCACUCCCACCUCUUAUUAUUUUUUCUAAUUUCUUCCGGCUAUAUAUUUAUAUUUUUAUGGGGGGAACCCAAAAAUGGGUUACAACAGAUGCCCCCUCUUUAUAAUGCUUACGGAGCAGAGGUCUUGCGCAGUAAGUUUUAUAAAGAUAAACCCCAAAACGGAACUCCCGAAACUGAUCUGGUUGAAGCUUGAUUAAUCUGAAACUUGUCUUUUACAGCAAUCCUCCUCAACUUGGAAUCCCAUCUGGCGAUCUCCUUUAGUCAAUUUGGAAUCCCAUCUGGCGAUUCCUUUUUUAAUCAACAUGAAAAACGAGGUCCCAUCUGGCGACCUUCAAAUAGCGAAACAUGAGAUCCCUUCUGGCGAUCUCCUUUAAUCAAACUUGGAAUCCCAUCUGGCAAUUCCUUUUAUUCAAACGAAAUAUGAGGUCCCAUCUGGCGACCUCCAAAUAGCGAAAUACGAGAUCCCUUCUGGCGAUCUCCUUCAACUUGGAAUCCCAUCUGGCGAUUCCUUUUAUUCAACAGGUAAUACGAGGUCCCAUCUGGCGACCUCCAAAUAGCGAAACACGAGAUCCCUUCUGGCGAUCUCCUUUAUUCAACUUGGAAUCCCAUCUGGCGAUUCCUUUUAACCAACAUGUAAUACGAGGUCCCAUCUGGCGACCUUCAAAUAGCGAAACACGAGAUCCCUUCUGGCGAUCUCCUUUAAUCAACUUGGAAUCCCAUCUGGCGAUUCCUUCUAACCAACAUGUAAUACGAGGUCCCAUCUGGCGACCUUUAAAUAGCGAAACAUGAGAUCCCUUCUGGCGAUCUCCUUUAAUCAACUUGGAAUCCCAUCUGGCGAUUCCUUUCAACAUGAAAUAUGAGGUCCCAUCUGGCGACCUUCUAAUAGCGAAACACGAGAUCCCUUCUGGCGAUCUCCUUUAAUCAACUUGGAAUCCCAUCUGGCGAUUCCUUUCAACAUGAAAUGAGGUCCCAUCUGGCGACCUUCUAAUAGCGAAACACGAGAUCCCUUCUGGCGAUCUCCUUUAAUCAAUUUGGAAUCCCAUCUGGCGAUUCCUUAUUACCAAAGCUGAUAUCGAUGUCGUUCUUCCUGAUGGCAGGGUUCAAAACUUUUCAUUCUCUCUUUUUCUUGUUAUUCUCGUUGUUCCAGAAUCCACUAUGGUUCAAAACCGUGAUUCUUUGCUAUCAUCCUCUAUGAUUCUUUCUUCGUCUCCAAUCUUGUUGGAAAGCAUCAAGGUCUCCUCCUGUAACGAUCCAAAAAACAUAUAUGCAAUGCUUUAUGAUUAGAUGUCAUGCAUGCAUUCAUACCUGGUUUUGAAACAUAGGCCCCAUCACCUUCUUCGAGUUCAUGAGCCUCCUUCUUAACCUGAGCUUGCUUUUGAAGUCGCAUGCUGGAUUCAUCUCUCGUGUUGCCUCCUAUCAUAUUUUGGAGAAGAAAUCUCUGACUUUCUUUAAGUAGUCCUUUUCCCAAAAUGUAUGAUUUGUCAUUGCCUCUUUGUCAUGCUUUUGUCAAAUGCUUUAGCUUGGUUUUCAAAUCUAUAGGCUUCCGUACAUUUUAAACACGUAAAACUUUUCAUGAAAACAUCUCUUAUUGCCCCCAGUGUAGGGGUGUGAUUUUAGCCUAGGCUUUUGUAUAGAGAAGGAAUUCGUUCAGCCGAUGCUAAACUUUUUUAGGUGCGAUAACAACAAAACAUGCGCUAUUGGGAUUAAUGCAAAAAAAUGAUUGUUGUGAGAUCAAUGCAAAAAAAAAAAAAAAGUCAAUGGCCAAACUUUGCUUUAUUGAUUUAGGAGCGUACAUCAAACAUAAUAUCUUUUUACAGAGUCAGAAUUCACAGGUCGAGCUAGGUCUUCUCCAUCCAUUCUAGCCAACUUCAGCGCUCCUCCUGAGAAUGCCUUCUUUACUACGUAAGGACCCUCGUAAUUCGGUGCCCAUUUGCUUUGAUCGUCUCCAGGUAACGGCAAUAUUUUCUUCAAUACUAGAUCCCCUUCUUGAAACAACCGCGGUCUAACCUUCUUAUCAUAUGCCUUGGCCAUUCGUUUCUGGUAAAGUUGGUGAUGACAUAUUGCGGCCAUCCUUUUUUCACUGAUCAGGUUUAGUUGCUCAUAUCUCACUUUGGCCCACUCAACCUCUUCUAGCUCGGAAUCCAUUAAUACUCUUAACGAUGGGAUUUCUACUUCCAAAGGCAUCACUGCUUCCAUACCGUAUACCAAAGAAUAUGGGGUAGUCCCUGUCGAGGUCCUGACUGUAGUGCGGUAUGCGUGAAGUGCGAAUGACAACAUCUCAUGCCAAUCUCUAUAUGUGACUACCAUUUUCUGAAUAAUCUUCUUGAUGUUCUUGUUGGCGGCUUCUACUGCGCCAUUCAUCUUUGGUCGGUAUGGUGAAGAAUUCGAAUGCUUGAUUUUCCAUUUAGUACACAGCUCCGCUAUCAUUUUGCCAUUGAAAUUCUGUGCAUUAUCUGUCACUAUCUUUUCAGGAGGACCAUAUCGACAAAUCAAGUUCUUCUCUAUAAACCUCUUCACUACGUUCUGUGUUACGUGGGCAUAUGAACUAGCUUCUACCCAUUUUGUGAAGUAGUCAAUAGCUACGAGGAUGAAUCUAUGACCAUUGCUAGCUUUUGGGUUAACAGGCCCGAUCACGUCAAUUCCCCACAUUGCAAACGGCCAAGGGGAUAUUAGAUUAAAUAGAGGAGCUGGUGGCAUAUUGACCUUGUCACUGUAAACUUGACAUUUAUGACAUUUCCUGACAUAAUCGAUACAGUCUUUCUCUAGUGUCAUCCAAAAAUAACCAGCCCUUUGGAUUUUCCUCGCUAUCAUAUGCCCGCUAGCAUGGGUUGAGCAAAUCCCCUCAUGGACCUCCCGUAAUGCCUUUCUAGCAUCUGCCUCAUUCAAACACCUUAGUAGGGUCCCAUCAAAUGAUCUUUUGUACAAAAUCUCUCCAUCUAAAUAGAAGUCUAUAGCCAACCUUCUCAAAGUUUUCUUAUCCAUUUUGGAAGCUCCCACCGGAUAUUCGUGAUUUUGCACAAGGUUCUUGAUAUCAUAAUACCAAGGAUGUCCGUCUAUCUCUCCUUCAACUAAGCAACAAUAAGCUGGGUCAUUUCUAAUGUCAAUGUGUACCGGUUGUACCUUGCACUUGAGAUCAAUGGUAGUCAUAGCAGCUAACGUGGCCAAAGCAUCCGCAAAAUGGUUCCCCUCCCUUCCCAGAUGGGUGAAUCUAAUUCCUUCAAAUUCCUUUGCUAGCGUGGAUAGGUAUUCCUGGUACGGCCUCAACUUGUCCUCCUUGGUCUGCCAUUCCCCUUUAACCUGACAAAUAAUCAACAUUGAAUCUCUAUAUACAUCUAACUUCUUUAUCUUCAACUCUAAUGCCGCUUCUAAACCGAGGAUACAAGCUUCAUACUCAGCUGUGUUGUUGGUGCACUCGAAAUGUAGUUUAACCGAAACUGGAUAUUGUUUCUUAUUAGGAGAGAUUAUUACCGCACCGGCCCCGUUACCAUAUACAUUCACUGCACCAUCAAAAAACAUCGUCCACCAAUCUGUCUUCUCUUAUUCUUUCUCUAUUGACAAUAUAUCUUCAUCAGGGAAGUCAAAAUCCAAAGGUUCAUAAUCUUCAACAGCAUUAUCGGCCAGAUGGUCUGCAAUUGCACUUCCUUUUACGGCUUUCCUUGUCAUGUAUACUAUGUCAUAUUCUGCUAAUAGAACUUGCCACCUUGUAAUUCGACUUGAGAGAAAGGGCUUGUUACAAAUAUACCUCAGAGGAUCCACUUUUGAAAUUAACCAAGUGGUAUAGUAUAACAUAUAAUGUCGCAACCUCUUUGCAGCCCACACCAACGCACAACAAAGCCUUUCUAUCUCCGUGUAUCUAGACUCACAUUCAGUGAAUUUCUUACUUAAGUAAUAAAUAGCUCUUUCCUUCCUUCCGGUUUCAUCAUGCUGACCCAAUACACAUCCCAUGGCCGCUUCAGUCACUGUUAGAUACAAUACUAAAGGUUUUCCUGAUACCGGAGGCACCAGUAAAGGUGGAUUUUGUAAAUAAUGCUUGAUUUUAUUGAAUGCCUCCUCACACUCCUCAUUCAAGGUUCCAGGAUUCUUUUUCCUUAGUAGUCGGAAUAUUGGUUCACACGUCGUUGUUAACUGAGCUAUGAACCUAGCAAUGUAGUUUAAUCUUCCCAAGAAUCCUCUUACUUCUUUCUCCGUCUUAGGGGAUGACAUAGCUUGGAUGGCCUUCACUUUAUCUGGAUCCACCUCUAUACCUCUAUCACUUACCACAAAUCCUAACAGCUUACCCGAUUUAACUCCGAAUGAACAUUUUACAGGAUUGAGCCUUAAUUCAUACUUCCUCAGUCUCUCAAAUAACUUCCUCAAAACUUCAACAUGAUCCUCUUCCGGUCUGCAAUUGCACUUCCUUUUACGGCUUUCCUUGUCAUGUAUACUAUGUCAUAUUCUGCUAAUAGAACUUGCCAUUGCUCUUUGAUAGGUUGCUCCUGCAUUCUUCAAUCCAAAUGGCAUGACCUUAUAGCAGAAUGUUCCCCAAGGUGUGACAAAAGUUGUUUUCGUCUUAUCCUCCGGAGCCAUUUUUAUCUGGUUGUAUCCUGAAAAACCAUCCAUAAAGGAAUAUGUGGAACUCCGGGCAGCGUUGUCUACUAAAACAUCUAUGUGUGGUAGCGGAAAAUCAUCCUUGGGGCUAGCUUUAUUCAAAUUCCGAAAAUCCACGCACACUCUAAUCUUCCCCUCCUUCUUAGGCACCACAACAAUGUUAGAUACCCAUUGCGGAUAUCUAACUACUUCUAGAAAACCAGCAUCCCAUUGCUUCUCGAGUUCUGCCUUGACCUUGAUCCAGACAUCCGGGUGGGCCCUCCUCAGCUUCUGCUUGACUGGCUUACAACCUUCUUCCAACGGUAUCUUGUGUACUACAAUAUUUGUAUCCAAACCAGGCAUAUCUUCAUAGGACCAAGCAAAGACAUCUGAAUAUUCUUGUAAUAGGGUGAUCAUUUUGAUCCUUUGUUCAGAAGUAAUUAGGGUACCUAUUUUUAACUCUUUCUUAAGCUGAUCACUGCCCACAUUGAUGGUUUCGAGUUCCUCGACGAUAGGCUUCCAAGUCUGUUCCUGUUGUUCUACUAGCCUAGUGAAUUCACUGAUAUUGCUUUCAUCCCACUCUUCUUCUUCCAUAGCUAUCACAUGCUCGUUCAAGUUUGGCCAUUUAUUCUUGAUGCUAAAUGUAUGUGAUGUUGUGGGAGAUCCGCUUUCAGGAUUCCUGAAAGCGGGAAGUGUUUGGUGUAAAUGCAUAAAAAAAAGAAGGCAAUUUGUGAAAAGUGCAUGAUCUCACAAUUUAUUUAAAGAAAAGGUGGGCUCCAUGACAAACAUAAAAUCUAGCUGACAUCAUGAGCCUUGAUUGUCAACUAGAGGAAAUAAAAGCAAACAUAAGCAAUGACAAAAGCAUGUUAAGACAAACAAAAUUGGUUUACAUUUUGAAAACCACUGGAGCUUCUUGGGUCACCCAGUUCUGAAACUUCUCGUCUUGAGCUAACUUGCGCACAAAGGUCUUGGCGGAUACUUCUUCUAUGGUGUAGACCGUCAGUUGUGGGAGUGCUUCAUCUCCCUUUCUUGCUACUGUCUUCAUGUCAUCUCCUUCCACCUUGUUUUCCCCCAAGGUAUUUAUGCUCAUGUUUGACAGCUCUUGAUCAAGGCUUUCGGCUUCUUUAUCAUGUUACAUUAUGUAUGCAGCUUUUGGGAAUGACACGCUAAGGGGAGGGAUUUCCAGCUUUUCUUCAUCAGGCUCUCUUCCUUUAAUUCUAGCCAUCCUUCUUGCCCUUCUCCGACCAGCAGCCCACCGAUAAUCCUCUUGGUUAGGUUGGUACCCUAGCCCAAAUCUUUGAGCAGCACUUUUCAUCUUUGCCAGAUUAACCCCUUCUGGUAUCCUAAUAAUAAGGUUAUACUGAAAUGGGAUUCCGCGGUUCAAGAAGCAUAGACUUGCCAUCCUUGCUGCUUCUGAGAUCCUUGGCCUUCUUAGCACUGUGUUCUCCGACACCCAGUCGGUGUUCACAAUCUCAAAGGCAUGGAUAUUGUUACCCUUGCAAUCAUCCGCUUCGAUAAAAGGCACAGCUACAUUCUUUAUCAUGGAUACUGUGUCCUCGGCCUUGACAGUUACCAACAUCCCAUUCAUGAUAUACUUUAGGCAUUGGUGCAAUGACGAAGCUACUACCCCCGCUGCAUGAAUCCAAGGUCUUCCUAACAACAUACUAUAAGAAGGGUGGAUAUCCAUAACCUGAAGUGUUACUAGGAACAUUUGUGGUCCCACAUAUAGCUCCACUUCUAAAGUCCCAAUUAUUGGCCUAGGCGACCCAUCAUACGCUCUGGCCAUCAUAGUACUUGGCUUAACAUGGGAUUCAUCGAUCGGCAUUUCUUCUAGCAUGUGCUUUGGCAACACGUUAAGGGCCGAGCCAUUAUCAAUGAGUACUUUUCCUAUGAGGCAGUCCUUGCACCUAACCGUAAUGUAUAAAGGCUUGUUAUGUCCGGUACCUUCAGCAUCGAGCUCGUCAGCUGUGAAGUACAGGUAAUUCGUUGCAUGGAUCCUCCCCACUAGAUGCUCCAUGGUUUUGUGUUCGAUGUCUUGGGGUACAUAUGCCUCAUUCAAUACCUUUUGCAAGGCGUUUCGAUGCGGCUCAGAGCUGAGUAUCAAGGACAUAAGGGAGAUCCUAGCUGGAGUCUUCUUUAGUUGAUCCACUAUGCAAUAUUCGCUAUGCUUGAUCAACUUCAAGAAUUCAUUCGAUUCCUCUUCCGUUACUGGCUUGUUAACUUCUAGUGCUUUGUCCAGAUCUACCACUUCUUUGCCCUUUGACUUCCUCAACUCCUCGGGCGUAAAGCAACGACCACUCCUGGUCAAACCCCUUAUCUCAGGCUGGAACAAAGGAAGAGGAGCUCGGACGUUAGAGGCAUAACCAUAAUUAUAAGGCAUGGCAUUGUGAUUCCCUUUUGUGUAGGGCGGUUUAACCAAGAUUAGCCUUGGGGGCCCAUGAGCUGUUGGCUGGAUCCUGCAUACUCCUGUCAUUUCAUCUUGACCUUCCAUCAUACUCACCUCACCGCUGUUCUUCAUGGGUUCAAUCCUCAACUCCCCCAUUUUUAGCAUUUUUGCAAUCUUUUCGCAAAACUCGAUGCAAUCCUCAAUAUGAUGUCCAUCUCUUCCAUGGUAUUCACAAUAAUCAUAUCCCUCCGAAUGGCUCUCCACCUUUGUCUUUAGAAAUCCUGAUUGUACCAACAUGCCGUACAACCUCUUCAUGGACACCUUCGACACCUUGCAUUGAUUUCCCACUUCGAUCAUGCCUAUUCCACUACUAUUUGGGGCAUGCUUAGGCAAUGGGUUUGAAUUAACAUUGGGCUUGUCCUCAAAGGAUACCCAUCCCAUCUUAAUAAGCUCCAACAACCUCUUCUUGAAGGCGUAACAGGUUUCAAUCCCAUGCCCGGGAUUACCCCCAUGGUACUCGCAAGCCAACUCGGGCUUGUACCAAAUUGGGAAUGGUGGUUGUAGUGGUAGUGUAGGUAUAGGAGCUAUUUGUCCAAUGCUCAGAAGUUUGGCGUACAUGUCCUUCAAAGGCAUGGGUAAGGGUGGCAGUUGUUCUGAAGUGUAUUUUAUAUGGGGUCUUUGGUAGUGAUUUUGGUAGUUCGAUUGGUUAUUUGUUCGAUUAGGGGAAAAAGGUUGGUUAAAGUUUAUGCGUGAGAAUUGAGAGGUAGGUACUUGAGGAUUAUGAAAAUCUACUCUCUUGCCCUUAUACCCACCUUCCAGAUUGUUAACAUCGCCUUCUCUCUUUCUUCCAAUAAAACCCUUCUUCUCCACUGGCAUCGCUAUUCGCCCAGCUUUAAUCCCUUGUUCUAUCCUUUCAGCUAUGCGUACCGCAUCAUAGAAGUGUUGAGAGGAGCUACCCAUUAGGUGCUCAUAAUAAGGUGCUUUGAAGGUAUUGGCAAACAAGCUCACCAUCUCUGUUUCUAUCAAAGGGGGUUGGACAUGCAUUGCUUCAUCCCUCCAUCUUUGCGCAUAAGCCCUUACUGACUCCUGGCUCCUUUUCUCCAUUGUCAUUAGACUUGUUCGAUCAGGAGCGAUUUCCAUGUUAAACUUGUACUGUUUGAGGAAAGCCUCCACCAAGUCUCUCCAGCUCUUGAUCCUGA
This 19926-nucleotide long non-coding RNA is filed under the name Populus trichocarpa (black cottonwood). Its description in RNAcentral is "long non-coding RNA (PTRI_LNC000224)". The record is from RNAcentral. Lineage: Eukaryota; Viridiplantae; Streptophyta; Magnoliopsida; Malpighiales; Salicaceae.